AGAGAGGGGGGUAGACAGAUUGUAAAAGAGAGAGAGAGGGGGAGGGGGUAGACAGAUUGUAAAAGAGAGAGAGAGAGAGGGGGUAGACAGAUUGUAAAAGAGAGAGAGAGGGGGUAGACAGAUUGUAGAAGAGAGAGAGAGAGGGGGGGUAGACAGAUUGUAGAAGAGAGAGAGAGAGGGGGGGUAGACAGAUUGUGAAAGAGAGAGAGAGACAAAUAGACACAGGGAUAGACCAACAGACAGAGAAAGACAGACAUACAGAGACAGACAGACAGACAGACAGAUACAAACAGGUAGUCAUGCAGACAGACAGUAAGACCUCUAGUAAGAACUUAUUCUCAGCAGACCCAAUUACUAAAUGACAGGAUACCUGCCUUG
This is a long non-coding RNA of Ictalurus punctatus (channel catfish), 378 nucleotides long. Lineage: Eukaryota; Metazoa; Chordata; Actinopteri; Siluriformes; Ictaluridae. The record is from Ensembl.